UACGGGGGGAGCAAGCGUUGUUCGGAUUUACUGGGCGUAAAGGGCGCGUAGGCGGCCACCGCAAGUCGGUUGUGAAAUCUCUGGGCUUAACUCGGAAAGGUCAACUGAUACUGUGCGACUAGAGUGCAGAAGGGGCAACUGGAAUUCUCGGUGUAGCGGUGAAAUGCGUAGAUAUCGAGAGGAACACCUGCGGCGAAGGCGGGUUGCUGGGCUGACACUGACGCUGAGGCGCGAAAGCCAGGGGAGCGAACGGG
RNAcentral lists this ribosomal RNA (254 nucleotides) under uncultured bacterium. Its description in RNAcentral is "partial 16S ribosomal RNA". It matches the Rfam family "Bacterial small subunit ribosomal RNA", at positions 524 to 776 of the family's 1533-position model. The record is from RNAcentral.